AAAUUGAAGAGUUUGAUCAUGGCUCAGAUUGAACGCUGGCGGCAGGCCUAACACAUGCAAGUCGAGCGGAAACGAGUUGUCUGAACCUUCGGGGGACGAUAACGGCGUCGAGCGGCGGACGGGUGAGUAAUGCCUAGGAAAUUGCCCUGAUGUGGGGGAUAACCAUUGGAAACGAUGGCUAAUACCGCAUGAUGCCUACGGGCCAAAGAGGGGGACCUUCGGGCCUCUCG
Molecule: ribosomal RNA, 230 nt
Filed under: Vibrio parahaemolyticus
Lineage: Bacteria; Pseudomonadati; Pseudomonadota; Gammaproteobacteria; Vibrionales; Vibrionaceae
Description: partial 16S ribosomal RNA
Rfam family: Bacterial small subunit ribosomal RNA
Source: RNAcentral